CCUACGGGGGGCUGCAGUGGGGAAUAUUGCACAAUGGGCGCAAGCCUGAUGCAGCCAUGCCGCGUGUGUGAAGAAGGCCUUCGGGUUGUAAAGCACUUUCAGCGGGGAGGAAGGCGGUGAGGUUAAUAACCUCAUCGAUUGACGUUACCCGCAGAAGAAGCACCGGCUAACUCCGCGCCAGCAGCCGCGGUAAUACGGAGGGUGCAAGCGUUAAUCGGAAUUACUGGGCGUAAAGCGCACGCAGGCGGUCUGUCAAGUCGGAUGUGAAAUCCCCGGGCUCAACCUGGGAACUGCAUUCGAAACUGGCAGGCUAGAGUCUUGUAGAGGGGGGUAGAAUUCCAGGUGUAGCGGUGAAAUGCGUAGAGAUCUGGAGGAAUACCGGUGGCGAAGGCGGCCCCCUGGACAAAGACUGACGCUCAGGUGCGAAAGCGUGGGGAGCAAACAGGAUUAGAUACCCUUGUAGUC
This 465-nucleotide ribosomal RNA is filed under the name uncultured Klebsiella sp. RNAcentral describes it as "bacterial SSU rRNA". It matches the Rfam family "Bacterial small subunit ribosomal RNA", at positions 338 to 795 of the family's 1533-position model. Lineage: Bacteria; Pseudomonadati; Pseudomonadota; Gammaproteobacteria; Enterobacterales; Enterobacteriaceae. The record is from RNAcentral.